UAUCACAUCACCAUCACCACCAUCAUCGCCUCAAAACUGCCAUGCACUGCACUGUCCUGCCGCAUUCUUAGGAACACGAGACAGCAACCCAAACAGCUACAUUCUCUCCCUCAGCAGGUUCCAAAGCAGACAACAGGAUACUCGUCUGUUGUUGCAGACUGCAGCAAAUAGUUCCGACCGAGCUGUACAAACAGUAAUGAGACUUGACAGGAAGGAGGACCAUCAAGGGCAGGAAGGACCAUGUGGGUUUUGACCAACAACGCAAGGUUCAUCUUAGCAUUUUACUCUCGCCCCAUUUUCCUCUGACGUCAGAGUUCAACGUCGAAGUUUGUUCAACGGUUUGUGUCUAUAGCCAAAUGCAACAGCAAAAGAAAUAAUUUUUGCCCUCAAUACCACAAGCGCGCAUAUAGAGGCAUGCACUCCGUUUUCGAUUGCGAAUAAAAAUAUAAAGCUCGGAAAUCCGUUAUUCACAAAA
This is a long non-coding RNA of Ornithodoros turicata, 475 nucleotides long. RefSeq lists it as uncharacterized. Lineage: Eukaryota; Metazoa; Arthropoda; Arachnida; Ixodida; Argasidae. The transcript has 3 exons. The record is from RefSeq and is a predicted model, not a curated record.